Molecule: non-coding RNA, 28 nt
Filed under: Mus musculus (house mouse)
Lineage: Eukaryota; Metazoa; Chordata; Mammalia; Rodentia; Muridae
Source: RNAcentral
UCCUCACUCACUCAGGAAUCCGCCGAGG